GAACCUCCUGGGGCGCGGGUUCAGGGGCUGGCGGAGCUUCCGGCUCCGGGGUCUCCGCCGGCUGAACUUCCGGCUCGGGCUCGGUGGGGAUUUCCC
This 96-nucleotide transfer RNA is filed under the name Neomesorhizobium albiziae. RNAcentral describes it as "Mesorhizobium albiziae tRNA-Gly". Lineage: Bacteria; Pseudomonadati; Pseudomonadota; Alphaproteobacteria; Hyphomicrobiales; Phyllobacteriaceae. The record is from RNAcentral.